GACGAACGCUGGCGGCGUGCUUAACACAUGCAAGUCGAACGGAAAGGCCCUGCUUGCAGGGUACUCGAGUGGCGAACGGGUGAGUAACACGUGGGUGAUCUGCCCUGCACUUCGGGAUAAGCCUGGGAAACUGGGUCUAAUACCGGAUAGAAGCCAUCUUUAGUGUGAUGGUUGGAAAGUUUUUUCGGUGUGGGAUGAGCUCGCGGCCUAUCAGCUUGUUGGUGGGGUAAUGGCCUACCAAGGCGGCGACGGGUAGCCGGCCUGAGAGGGUGGACGGCCACAUUGGGACUGAGAUACGGGCCAGACUCCUACGGGAGGCAGCAGGGGGGGAUAUUGGACAAUGGGCGGAAGCCUGAUGCAGCGACGCCGCGUGGGGGAUGACGGCCUUCGGGUUGGAAACUCCUUUCGCUAGGGACGAAGCUGUUUGUGACGGUACCGAGAUAAGAAGCACCGGCUAACUACGUG
RNAcentral lists this ribosomal RNA (465 nucleotides) under uncultured bacterium. RNAcentral describes it as "partial 16S ribosomal RNA". It matches the Rfam family "Bacterial small subunit ribosomal RNA", at positions 28 to 507 of the family's 1533-position model. The record is from RNAcentral.